This 786-nucleotide ribosomal RNA is filed under the name uncultured fungus. RNAcentral describes it as "SSU rRNA". It matches the Rfam family "Eukaryotic small subunit ribosomal RNA", at positions 564 to 1354 of the family's 1831-position model. The record is from RNAcentral. Lineage: Eukaryota; Fungi.
GUGCCAGCAGCCGCGGUAAUUCCAGUCUCCAAUAGCGUAUAUUAAAGUUGUUGUGGUUAAAAAGCUCGUAGUUGAACCUUGGGCCUGGCUGGCCGGUCCGCCUCACCGCGUGCACUGGUCCGGCCGGGCCUUUCCCUCUGUGGAACCCCAUACCCUUCACUGGGCGUGGCGGGGAAACAGGACAUUUACUUUGAAAAAAUUAGAGUGCUCCAGGCAGGCCUAUGCUCGAAUACAUUAGCAUGGAAUAAUAAAAUAGGACGCGCGGUUCUAUUUUGUUGGUUUAUAGGACCGCCGUAAUGAUUAAUAGGGACAGUCGGGGGCAUCAGUAUUCAACUGUCAGAGGUGAAAUUCUUGGAUCAGUUGAAGACUAACUACUGCGAAAGCAUUUGCCAAGGAUGUUUUCAUUAAUCAGGAACGAAAGUUAGGGGAUCGAAGACGAUCAGAUACCGUCGUAGUCUUAACCAUAAACUAUGCCGACUAGGGAUCGGACGGUGUUAUUCAUGACCCGUUCGGCACCUUACGAGAAAUCAAAGUGCUUGGGCUCCAGGGGGAGUAUGGUCGCAAGGCUGAAACUUAAAGAAAUUGACGGAAGGGCACCACCAGGGGUGCAGCCUGCGGCUUAAUUUGACUCAACACGGGGAAACUCACUCAGGUCCAGACACAAUAAGGAUUGACAGAUUGAGAGCUCUUUUCUUGAUUUUGUGGGUGGUGCGCAUGGUCGUUCUUAGUGGUGGGGUUGACUUGUCUGCUUAAUUGCGAUUACCGAACGAGACCUUUAACCUGCUA